Molecule: long non-coding RNA, 1352 nt
Organism: Homarus americanus (American lobster)
Lineage: Eukaryota; Metazoa; Arthropoda; Malacostraca; Decapoda; Nephropidae
Exons: 3
Source: RefSeq, a predicted model, not a curated record
CAAGCACUACACGGGAGAGGCUGGCCUAGUCCUCCAGAGUAGCUGAAGUCUGCCAGACGAGCUUGUGUGUGUUAGCUGCCGACGCCUUCUGUAUCUUUGUGUGAGAUAAAAAAUGUUUACAAUUAUGAGACCAGCGGUGAGAGUGUGGGGGGUGGCAUCAAGCACUCCUCCACCAUCUACGCGGAGGUCUUUCUACUUGGCGAGGACAUUAGGCUCGUAUAACAGUAUCCCGUCCUUCCCGCCCACUUCUACAUCAUUAUCAAGCGUGGAUGUGAGGGAGCUGAGCGAGAAGGCCAGAUGGUUGGGGCCGCUAAACCUCAAUUCUCGCCUGUACUUCGAGGCACACAAGGUGGGCGUAAAACACUCUAGUAUGUUGAACAACAUAAUCACGGCACGACCUAUCCACCACCAGAACAUGAUCGAUACCCUCUUUCAUCUCUGCAAGUGAGUAUUUGUUGCUUUUGAAUAAUCGAAAAACUAUUGAAAUUUUUAUACAGUCUAUUUAACAACGUAGCAUGUACAAUAUUGACAAAGGGCUUAUUAUCAUGGAGCGUACAGGCCGUGUCCCCCUUAACGUCGAGAUGCCUUCAGUGUGGCAGUAAGAAUUACGAUAAGAGCUUAUUAAUUAAGUGUCCUUCAGGUUAUAUGCAUGUCUCCACUUACCUCCAUGACCUUUAACCACCUUGGCCACUUAAGAGAGUCAUUCACACACAUAAAUAGACGUACAGGACAGUUGGUUGACAGUUAAUGAUCAUCUUACCAAAGAUCAGCUUCCCCAAUCACGUUAACUAACCAUUAACCCAUGUCGUUCAGACCUAAAGAAGCCACCAGUCAUAUUAUAGAUCUUAAUGAGCAAGAGCGAACACCCCGUCAAUCUUUGAUGAAGAUAACAGUUUCUGGCCAAACUUACGCUCCUCUCUGUCAACUAUCUCCACCUGAGUUGUUCGAGAUGAUGAAUGUACGCUUCACUUCGACGCACAAAUGUGAAAAGUACUGGUACACGCUGUCAUCCCGGUCAGAUUACCAUUACCAUAAUUAUACAUGAGAAAAUCACCAUCUUCACUUAAUUAUUCACAUCACCUAAACUCACAGGAAUUCCCUUACAAUUCACAGCCACAGCAUUCGGUUGUCUCUAAUCAUAGAAUAGGUUAUAUUUUGACCUAAUGGCACUAAUGGCUGGAAUAGUUAUAUCCUGUAGGAGGAGGGUAGGAAAUAGAUGAUUGUCAUUCCUAACUCAGACGGAAGCAGAGGUUUCUAUCAGAACACUUGGGAACUUAAGUAGUAACAGACAUCAUUCACCUUGACGCUCCUUGGAUCAUUAUUGUGUGUAUAAAGUAGUAUUUUUAUGUUCU